AACGCACGAGACCUGCGGACCUGCGGAAGGAUCAUUAGUGAGACUUAGCGCUCCAACCCUUGCGAAUCUUACCCAUUGCGGCGUUGUUUCGGCGAGCUUGUUAGCAGGCAAGAAAAGUCUGCUGGCAUACCGCCUCAUUAGCGGAGCCCGCCGACAGCGCCAAACUCUUGUUUUUAGUGGAAGUCUUCUGAGUGGCAUGAAAAAAACAAGCAAAACUUUUAACAACGGAUCUCUAGAUCG
RNAcentral lists this unclassified non-coding RNA (240 nucleotides) under soil metagenome. Its description in RNAcentral is "partial contains 5.8S ribosomal RNA, internal transcribed spacer 2, and large subunit ribosomal RNA". The record is from RNAcentral.